GUUAAAUUGGCAGAAAUAGUGCUUUAAAUUUAGAAUUUAAUAAAACAAUAAUAAAUUGUAUUUAAU
This 66-nucleotide transfer RNA is filed under the name Mileewa albovittata. RNAcentral describes it as "tRNA-Leu". Lineage: Eukaryota; Metazoa; Arthropoda; Insecta; Hemiptera; Cicadellidae. The record is from RNAcentral.